AGCUGGCAGAGGUGAUUCUGAAAAAGCAGCAGGCGGCCCUAGAAAGAACAGUCCACCCCAACAGCCCCGGCAUUCCCUACAGAACUCUGGAGCCCCUGGAGACGGAAGGAGCCACCCGCUCCAUGCUCAGCAGCUUUUUGCCUCCUGUUCCCAGCCUGCCCAGUGACCCUCCAGAGCACUUCCCUCUGCGCAAGACAGUCUCUGAGCCCAACCUGAAGCUGCGCUAUAAGCCCAAGAAGUCCCUGGAGCGGAGGAAGAAUCCACUGCUCCGAAAGGAGAGUGCGCCCCCCAGCCUCCGGCGGCGGCCCGCAGAGACCCUCGGAGACUCCUCCCCAGGUAGUAGCAGCACGCCCGCGUCAGGGUGCAGCUCCCCCAAUGACAGCGAGCACGGCCCCAAUCCCAUCCUGGGCUCGGAGGCUGACGGUGACCGCAGGACCCAUCCGACUCUGGGCCCUCGGGGGCCAAUCCUGGGGAGCCCCCACACUCCCCUCUUCCUGCCCCAUGGCCUGGAGCCCGAGGCUGGGGGCACCUUGCCUUCUCGCCUGCAGCCCAUUCUCCUCCUGGACCCCUCAGGCUCUCAUGCCCCGCUGCUGACUGUGCCCGGGCUUGGGCCCUUGCCCUUCCACUUUGCCCAGUCCUUAAUGACCACCGAGCGGCUCUCUGGGUCAGGCCUCCACUGGCCACUGAGCCGGACUCGCUCAGAGCCCCUGCCCCCCAGUGCCACCGCUCCCCCACCGCCGGGCCCCAUGCAGCCCCGCCUGGAGCAGCUCAAAACUCACGUCCAGGUGAUCAAGAGGUCAGCCAAGCCGAGUGAGAAGCCCCGGCUGCGGCAGAUACCCUCGGCUGAAGACCUGGAGACAGAUGGCGGGGGACCGGGCCAGGUGGUAGACGAUGGCCUGGAGCACAGGGAGCUGGGCCAUGGGCAGCCUGAGGCCAGAGGCCCCGCUCCUCUCCAGCAGCACCCUCAGGUGUUGCUCUGGGAACAGCAGCGACUGGCUGGGCGGCUCCCCCGGGGCAGCACCGGGGACACUGUGCUGCUUCCUCUGGCCCAGGGUGGGCACCGGCCUCUGUCCCGGGCACAGUCUUCCCCAGCCGCACCUGCCUCACUGUCAGCCCCAGAGCCUGCCAGCCAGGCCCGAGUCCUCUCCAGCUCAGAGACCCCUGCCAGGACCCUGCCCUUCACCACAGGUUCACUCUAAAGGAGUAGCAUUCCUGGGUCACAUGGUGUGAGCAUUUUGAGAGUCGUUGGUGUCCUAGACGCACAGAAAUUGACCCUCCCACCCGCAAUGAGCAGGACCCUCCUCUGAAGACUUCCCACGGGUCAGACUGAAAUAGUCACUUCUCCAAAGCUGGAUUUGUCUAUCACAUGGUCCAGUGUCAUCGUGGGCUUCUUAGCUCCCGGUUUGGGCGUUUCCUAGGAAUUCUUUUCCCUCCUGCUGCCCCUUGGUAGCCUCUCUGGGUUCAUGACACGCGUGUGAGACGCUGUACGUUAGGCCUCAUGCUUUGCUCUGAGCACUUGAGGGCCUUAUGCUGGGCCCUCGAGUGCUGGGCCACCCAGCAGUCGUGUCCGCAUGUGGGAAGGCCGUGCCUCUGUGGCAGCUGUGUUGGCUGGAUCUGUGUUGGUGUGUUGGCUGCUGCCACCUGGGGAAGUGUCUGGGCGUGUGUGGACAGGUGUGAGGGGCUGGGGCUGGGGCAGGGGGCAGGACGAAAUGCAGGCCUGUGUGGGUGUGAGGGGUGUGUGCCCGCCCGGCUCCAUGUGGGUGCCUGCUGUGGCGGUGCUGGCGUGUUCUCAGCAGCCAAGGCCAUGGGGCGUGAGGACUCCCUGGGUCCCCGCUCUGACCCUUGCUCCUGCAGGGCUGAUCUAUGACUCGGUCAUGCUGAAGCACCAGUGCUCCUGCGGUGACAACAGCAGGCACCCGGAGCACGCCGGCCGCAUCCAGAGCAUCUGGUCCCGGCUGCAGGAGCGGGGACUCCGGAGCCAGUGUGAGUGUCUCCGAGGCCGGAAGGCCUCCCUGGAAGAGCUGCAGUCGGUCCACUCUGAGCGGCACGUGCUCCUCUACGGCACCAACCCGCUCAGCCGCCUCAAACUGGACAACGGGAAGCUGGCAGGGCUCCUGGCACAGCGGAUGUUUGUGAUGCUGCCCUGUGGUGGGGUUGGGGUGGACACUGACACCAUCUGGAAUGAGCUGCAUUCCUCCAAUGCAGCCCGCUGGGCCGCUGGCAGUGUCACUGACCUCGCCUUCAAAGUGGCUUCUCGUGAGCUAAAGAAUGGUUUCGCUGUGGUGCGGCCCCCAGGACACCAUGCAGAUCAUUCAACAGCCAUGGGCUUCUGCUUCUUCAACUCAGUGGCCAUCGCCUGCCGGCAGCUGCAGCAGCAGAGCAAGGCCAGCAAGAUCCUCAUUGUAGACUGGGACGUGCACCAUGGCAACGGCACCCAGCAAACCUUCUACCAAGACCCCAGUGUGCUCUACAUCUCCCUGCAUCGCCAUGACGACGGCAACUUCUUCCCGGGGAGUGGGGCUGUGGAUGAGGUAGGGGCUGGCAGCGGUGAGGGCUUCAAUGUCAAUGUGGCCUGGGCUGGAGGUCUGGACCCCCCCAUGGGGGAUCCUGAGUACCUGGCUGCUUUCAGGAUUGUCGUGAUGCCCAUCGCCCGAGAGUUCUCUCCAGACCUAGUCCUGGUGUCUGCUGGAUUUGAUGCUGCUGAGGGUCACCCGGCCCCACUGGGUGGCUACCAUGUUUCUGCCAAAUGUUUUGGGUACAUGACGCAGCAACUGAUGAACCUGGCAGGAGGUGCAGUGGUGCUGGCCUUGGAGGGUGGCCAUGACCUCACAGCCAUCUGUGACGCCUCUGAGGCCUGUGUGGCUGCUCUUCUGGGUAACAAGGUGGAUCCCCUUUCAGAAGAAGGCUGGAAACAGAAACCCAACCUCAAUGCCAUCCGCUCUCUGGAGGCCGUAAUCCGGGUGCACAGUAAAUACUGGGGCUGCAUGCAGCGCCUGGCCUCCUGUCCAGACUCCUGGGUGCCUAGAGUGCCAGGGGCUGACAAAGAAGAAGUGGAGGCAGUGACCGCACUGGCAUCCCUCUCUGUGGGCAUCCUGGCUGAAGAUAGGCCGUCGGAGCAGCUGGUGGAGGAGGAAGAACCUAUGAAUCUCUAAGGCUCUGGAACCAUCUGCCCGCCCACCAUGCCCUUGGGACCUGGUUCUCUUCUAACCCCUGGCAAUAGCCCCCAUUCCUGGCUCUUUAGAGAUCCUGUGGGCAGGUAGUUGGAACCAGAGAACAGCCUGCCUGCCUUGACAGUUAUCCCAGGGAGCCUGAGAAAAUCCCUGGGUCUAGAAUGGGGACUGGAGAGGACCCUGAGAGGAGACGGGCUGGGCGGCGACCCCCACAGGGUUCUCGAGAACAGAUUCUCCCCUCUGGUAUGGGCCCUGGCUGUGGCCCCCAUUCCUCAGGACUGCACAGAGGAGGACUGGCUCCGGCUCCGUCGGGCUCACCCUUAACCACUAUUCCUGGCUCUGCAAACCCCAGACUUUGCACACAGCCCCAGGCUCCACACAGAAAUGUGAACUUGGCCUCAGACAGGCUGGCCCUUCCUAGGCUCUAGGGGCUGGGGGAGAGUGGGGAGCCAAGAGGUCCCAUAUUCCUGAGUGCAGGGGGAGUCCCUCUCACCUGCUUCCUCAGAUGACCCUGGAAGCUUCCCCCUACCACCAGGCACUGAGACGAAGCUCCCAGACAGCCGAGACUGGCAGCCCUCCAUCUGGUCCAUACCCUCGCCAGAGGCCCCCCUACAUCAACCUCCUGGCGAUGCCCUGGUGGAGCAGAUGGGUGCUCUGGGAGUCCUGUGCUUCCUGAUCCAAUGGUGCCAAACCCUUCAUCUCCCCCAGAAGCACAGCAUACCCCUGGGACCCCUCGGCCACUGCCCACUCGGGGGAGCCUUCUCUGUUUCUGGGGCCUCCCCCACCACAGCUCUGAUUCCCACCCCACAUAGGAAUAGCCUGGCUGAGGGGGAAGGGGUGGGAGAGAAGAUACAGACAUGGAGGAGGGGAGGCUGCUCUGGCAAAGUCUUCAAGGCUUUUGGAGGUCCAGGCCUGGGGUCAAGAAGGAAAAUGUGUGUGAGCAUGUGUGUGAAUGAGGCGUGUGUGUGAGCGUGUGUGAGUGAGGCGUGUGUGUGUGUCUUUCCUAGGACCCACCAUACCCUGUGUAUGUAUGCAUGUUUUUGUAAAAAGGAACAAAAUGGAAAAAAAUCUGAACAAUAAAUGUUUUAUUUGCUUU
This 4266-nucleotide small RNA is filed under the name Pongo abelii (Sumatran orangutan). RNAcentral's name for it is "retained intron". Lineage: Eukaryota; Metazoa; Chordata; Mammalia; Primates; Hominidae. The record is from RNAcentral.